CUGAGCCACCCAGGGGUCCCACCUCCCAUCCUUUUUUAAAUCAGUUUUUACAUGGUUAAGAUCAUACUGCACAGAGUAAGAUGAGGCCCAAUUUAUUGAGUACUCCUAAAUGGCAGACAACCUGCUAAGUGCUUCACAUACAUUGUAUCAAUAUCCUAUGAGCCAGCUAUUUUAUGCCUAAUAUAUGGAAAAUAUGAGGACAUAUGGAAAAACUGAAGAUUAGUGAGUUUAAAUAAGUUGCCUUGGGCCAUCCAGCCAGUAAGCAGCCAAGCUGAGAUUUUAGCACAAGCUUGGCCAGUAUCAAAAUCCAUACUCUUUACCAUUAUGUUUAUUUUCUUUGUUUACCACUAUAACUAAUUUUUAUGUCAUUAACAAAUCAUUGCAAAUAUCAUGUAAAGUAAAAAGGUAAAGCUCCUGUAUGAUUAGGCUUAUCUCGCUGAAGCCCUGCAGUCAAUGAGCAAUCAUAUUUUUCAAAAAUCUUUACAAAUAUUAAGAGCAAGAAUGGAACAUCGUUGCUGUUCAAGUUAAAAUGUAUUGAGACUUUAAAUGUUUUUAUAAGCUUAUCAGGCAUUUGCAUUUCUAAGGAUUAUAUAUUUCUCAAAAAAGUACAGUGUGAGCCAGAAAUUACAAAAUGACCCUUUGGAACAAAUAACAUUACCUCAUUGAUUCUGGUUAUGUUGGGCAGGUACAGUAGGUAGAAGAUACACACACACACACACACACACACACACACACACACACACACAUAUAUAUAUAUAUAUAUGAUUUGUUUAAAGUUCCUAAACAUAGCUGGUUCCAAGACUUUAAGAUUCUCUCCUUAAAAUCUAGUUUACAUCAUUAUUUUUACAUCUAAAGAAAAAUGGUAAAAGGAAAAGGUAUUUACUAAGCAAAGAUAAAUGCUAACUAAACCCUUAUUGAAAAUAUCACCAGAUCAUGGAUUAAUGCAGUUUUAAUGCAUUUCCAAUACCUAGUUAUUCUGAUUUCCUUUCUGGCUACACUAUUUUCACUGUAAUCUAUUUAAGAGUUGGAGCCACUGAUGCAUUCAGUUUGAUUUAUCUAGUGACAAUACCUCAAUUAUCCUCCUGGGGAAAAUUAUUUUCUUGUGAGUAAAUCUAAUUUUGGUUUAAUCUUCCAAGUAAUUUUAAUUAAUUUUCUAUAUAUUUUGGCAAAAGUAAUUACGAAAGAAAAAGGCCAUUAUGACUAUAUUAUUAUGAAAUAUAGAGAAAAUAUCACAUCAAAAAAGAUAUAAACAUUUUCAGUUGGUGUUAGUGAAUUAUGACCUUGCAAGUUACAAGAAUAUGCCAGAAUGUUUUAGCACUCAUAAGCCACAGAAGGCUAAAGAGACAUGUGGCUGAUAAGAUGCGAAUUUUGUAAUUUGAGAGUUGAGUAAAUGGGUAGCAGUAUCUUGCCACCUUAAAUAUUCUGCCUGAUGUACUGGUAACAUGGGCAUUGGCUUAAUGGCUCAUUUUGUGGGAGAAUUUUUAACCUUUACAUCAACAUUUAUGUAAAAUUUAGGUUGCACAGAAAUAUAUAAUCAAUUUGAAUUUGCUGUUUCGGAUAUCUGCAUUUUCCUGGAUUUCCUUAUUAAUAGCUUACUUCUCUUUCUAUAGGCUUGGCUUGACAUAACCAAUCUGGAUCAUGUCUACAAAAGAAACAAACUGCAUACAAUUUUGCUGCAAAAGAUAACAAACCCCACAAAUUUUCAGUAGUGGAUAUCUAAGAAAUGAACCUCACUGGACAAAAAUUAUAAGAACUACGGAAGUCUGAGUUUCUGAAAUUGAAGAAGAGUUCCAGCUAGACCUUCCUAUUGUAAUCUGCAGUAAGAAGCACCCUCAUGGACAAUGAUGAUAAGAAUAUGGGGAGAGAAGCAUUUGAUGGAUGAGUGUGAUUUUUACCUGGCAUGAUGGCAGCAUGUGAGCAAGGACAAUGCCAACAUGGCCCUGGAGAAGGCAGAAAAAGAAACAAGUUAACUUGGGUCCUUAAUGCUUUCUUCUCAUUCUGAGACAGCAGUCUUGCCAAAUAAAAACAUGACUCUGAAUGUAAUACAGUAAAGUCACAUAGUCGGGGGAAGGCUAAAGAGAAUAAGAGGAGAGACAUAAUACCCCGCC
Long non-coding RNA from Herpailurus yagouaroundi (jaguarundi), 2108 nucleotides. RefSeq lists it as uncharacterized. The record is from RefSeq and is a predicted model, not a curated record. NCBI's taxonomy places the organism in Eukaryota, Metazoa, Chordata, Mammalia, Carnivora, Felidae. The transcript is spliced from 3 exons.